AUAUAUUUAGUUUAAAAAAACAUUAAAUUGCAAAUUUAAAAUUAAUUAUAUUAUUUAAUAUAUA
Molecule: transfer RNA, 64 nt
Filed under: Meteorus sp. 2 XHS-2023a
Lineage: Eukaryota; Metazoa; Arthropoda; Insecta; Hymenoptera; Braconidae
Description: tRNA-Cys
Source: RNAcentral